This 253-nucleotide ribosomal RNA is filed under the name uncultured bacterium. RNAcentral describes it as "partial 16S ribosomal RNA". It matches the Rfam family "Bacterial small subunit ribosomal RNA", at positions 524 to 776 of the family's 1533-position model. The record is from RNAcentral.
GACGAACCGAGCGAACGUUGUUCGGAAUCACUGGGCUUAAAGGGCGCGUAGGCGGGUGCUCAAGUCCGGGGUGAAAUCCCACAGCUCAACUGUGGAACUGCCUCGGAUACUGGGUGUCUCGAGGGUGGCAGGGGUAUGCGGAACUAUCGGUGGAGCGGUGAAAUGCGUUGAUAUCGAUAGGAACUCCGGUGGCGAAGGCGGCAUACUGGUCCACUUCUGACGCUGAGGCGCGAAAGCCAAGGGAGCAAACGGG